This 1054-nucleotide long non-coding RNA is filed under the name Calidris pugnax (ruff). Its description in RNAcentral is "lncRNA (ENSCPUG00000008934.1)". The record is from RNAcentral. Lineage: Eukaryota; Metazoa; Chordata; Aves; Charadriiformes; Scolopacidae.
AUAAGGUGUGGGGUUUUUUUGGAAAAAAAUUUAAAAUCCUCAGGCUGCAAAGCCCAUAUUUAGGUCUCAGAAACAGGUCUCCUUACCAAGACAUUAAAUACCACUGAGGGUUUCAAAGGAAGGCUGAUUGAGCAGCUGGAGCACUAGCGGUGGAGUAAGACUUCUACUGGAGUAGAGCUGGAAGGUGCCAGCUGGACACUCCUCUCAAUUACCCUCUUUGUUGGUGUUCCUGCUUCCCAGCUACCUGACAAUUACCAGUCAUUUGGUCAAGAAGCACCCAAUGGGAAGAAAAGGAACAGGGAAAGGAGAUGUGCUUUGUGCUGUGACUCUGGAACCAUAAGGAAUGAUUUUAGACUGAAAGAAGAGAGAUUGAGACGAGAUCUCGGGAAGAAAUUCUUUGGUGUGAGGGUGGUGAGACCCUGGCCCAGGUUGCCCCGAGAAGCUGUGGCUGCCCCAUCCCUGGAGGGGUUCAAGGCCAGGUUGGGACUUUGAGCAACCUGGGCUGGUGGGGGGUGUCCCUGCCCAGGGCAGGGGAUUGGAACUAGAUGGUCUUUAAGGUCCCUUCCAAUUCAAACCAUUCUGUGAUUCUAUGAUUAUUAUUAUCAUGAUUAUAGUCAAAACUGAAAAACAAAUGCUAAAUACAGUCCUUUUGGAUGUGCAAUGCAAAAAGAAAGGGAAAAUACGAAGUACACUGAAGGCUUCAGAAAAGUGACUUGUUUAAUGAAUGGGACUGAGGUAGCAUCACCUACGACAACACUGCUUUUAGCGGUUUGAAAGGUUCUGCACCCUUUGAAGGAGUUUGGAGGGAAAAGCCACCCCACCUCUCCUUUCGUAACAGUGUUUUGCUGUGAAUAUGCAAUCAACAACAACAAAAAAAUCUAGUUUUAAGGAUCUAGUAAGGCUUAGCAAGCAGAAGGUCUCUUAGCAACAAAACCCCAUAACUAAUGUGAAGCAGCUGUGGUAAUUUUAGAAAAUGGCUCAAACUGUUGAAAAGCCAUUAGGAAGCUGAUAUAUAGAGAAUAAAAAGAACCACUCAACUUUAAAAAGAUUUCCC